Molecule: ribosomal RNA, 497 nt
Filed under: uncultured bacterium
Lineage: Bacteria
Description: partial 16S ribosomal RNA
Rfam family: Bacterial small subunit ribosomal RNA
Source: RNAcentral
GAUGAACGCUGGCGGCGUGCCUAAUACAUGCAAGUCGAGCGAACAGACGAGGAGCUUGCUCCUCUGAUGUUAGCGGCGGACGGGUGAGUAACACGUGGAUAACCUACCUAUAAGACUGGGAUAACUUCGGGAAACCGGAGCUAAUACCGGAUAACAUGUUGAACCGCAUGGUUCAACAGUGAAAGACGGUCUUGCUGUCACUUAUAGAUGGAUCCGCGCCGCAUUAGCUAGUUGGUAAGGUAACGGCUUACCAAGGCAACGAUGCGUAGCCGACCUGAGAGGGUGAUCGGCCACACUGGAACUGAGACACGGUCCAGACUCCUACGGGAGGCAGCAGUAGGGAAUCUUCCGCAAUGGGCGAAAGCCUGACGGAGCAACGCCGCGUGAGUGAAGAAGGUCUUCGGACCGUAAAACUCUGUUAUUAGGGAAGAACAAAUGUGUAAGUAACUAUGCACGUCUUGACGGUACCUAAUCAGAAAGCCACGGCUAACUACGUG